RNAcentral lists this ribosomal RNA (584 nucleotides) under uncultured bacterium. RNAcentral's name for it is "bacterial SSU rRNA". It matches the Rfam family "Bacterial small subunit ribosomal RNA", at positions 338 to 916 of the family's 1533-position model. The record is from RNAcentral.
CCUACGGGAGGCAGCAGUGGGGAAUUUUGGACAAUGGGCGCAAGCCUGAUCCAGCCAUGCCGCGUGUGGGAAGAAGGCCUUCGGGUUGUAAACCACUUUUGUCAGGGAAGAAACGGUCUGAACUAAUACUUUGGACUAAUGACGGUACCUGAAGAAUAAGCACCGGCUAACUACGUGCCAGCAGCCGCGGUAAUACGUAGGGUGCAAGCGUUAAUCGGAAUUACUGGGCGUAAAGCGUGCGCAGGCGGCUUUGCAAGACAGAUGUGAAAUCCCCGGGCUCAACCUGGGAACUGCAUUUGUGACUGCAUGGCUAGAGUACGGUAGAGGGGGAUGGAAUUCCGCGUGUAGCAGUGAAAUGCGUAGAUAUGCGGAGGAACACCGAUGGCGAAGGCAAUCCCCUGGACCUGUACUGACGCUCAUGCACGAAAGCGUGGGGAGCAAACAGGAUUAGAUACCCUGGUAGUCCACGCCCUAAACGAUGUCAACUGGUUGUUGGGAGGGUUUCUUCUCAGUAACGAAGCUAACGCGUGAAGUUGACCGCCUGGGGAGUACGGCCGCAAGGUUGAAACGUUAAUGAAUUACGG